UUAACACAUGCAAGUCGAACGAUGAAGCCAGCUUGUUGGUGGAUUAGUGGCGAACGGGUGAGUAACACGUGAGUAACCUGCCCUUGACUCUGGGAUAAGCCUGGGAAACUGGGUCUAAUACCGGAUAUGACUCCUCAUCGCAUGGUGGGGGGUGGAAAGCUUUUUGUGGUUUUGGAUGGACUCGCGGCCUAUCAGCUUGUUGGUGAGGUAAUGGCUCACCAAGGCGACGACGGGUAGCCGGCCUGAGAGGGUGACCGGCCACACUGGGACUGAGACACGGCCCAGACUCCUACGGGAGGCAGCAGUGGGGAAUAUUGCACAAUGGGCGAAAGCCUGAUGCAGCGACGCCGCGUGAGGGAUGACGGCCUUCGGGUUGUAAACCUCUUUCAGUACGGAAGA
Molecule: ribosomal RNA, 399 nt
Filed under: Arthrobacter sp. 095-4.2-LH-A-15
Lineage: Bacteria; Bacillati; Actinomycetota; Actinomycetes; Micrococcales; Micrococcaceae
Description: bacterial SSU rRNA
Rfam family: Bacterial small subunit ribosomal RNA
Source: RNAcentral